AUUGAACGCUGGCGGUAUGCUUUACACAUGCAAGUCGAACGGUAGAGGGGGCAACCCCUCGAGAGUGGCGAACGGGCGAGUAAUAUAUCGGAACGUGCCCAGUCGUGGGGGAUAACGUAGCGAAAGUUACGCUAAUACCGCAUACGUUCUAAGGAUGAAAGCGGGGGAUCGCAAGACCUCGCGCGAUUGGAGCGGCGGAUAUCAGAUUAGGUAGUUGGUGGGGUAAAGGCUCACCAAGCCAACGAUCUGUAGCUGGUCUGAGAGGACGACCAGCCACACUGGAACUGAGACACGGUCCAGACUCCUACGGGAGGCAGCAGUGGGGAAUUUUGGACAAUGGACGCAAGUCUGAUCCAGCCAUUCCGCGUGCAGGAUGAAGGCCCUCGGGUUGUAAACUGCUUUUGUACGGAACGAAAAGGUCUCUCUUAAUACGGGGGACUCAUGACGGUACCGUAAGAAUAAGCACCGGCUAACUACGUGCCAGCCGCCGCAGUAA
Molecule: ribosomal RNA, 496 nt
Filed under: uncultured bacterium
Lineage: Bacteria
Description: partial 16S ribosomal RNA
Rfam family: Bacterial small subunit ribosomal RNA
Source: RNAcentral